GACGAACGCUGGCGGCGUGCUUAACACAUGCAAGUCGAACGAUGAACUGGAGCUUGCUCCAGGGAUUAGUGGCGAACGGGUGAGUAACACGUGAGUAACCUGCCCUUGACUCUGGGAUAAGCGCUAGAGAUGGCGUCUAAUACCGGAUACGAGCUUCAGCCGCAUGGCUAGGAGUUGGAAAGAAUUUUGGUCAAGGAUGGACUCGCGGCCUAUCAGCUAGUUGGUGAGGUAAUGGCUCACCAAGGCGACGACGGGUAGCCGGCCUGAGAGGGUGAUCGGCCACACUGGGACUGAGACACGGCCCAGACUCCUACGGGAGGCAGCAGUGGGGAAUAUUGCACAAUGGGCGAAAGCCUGAUGCAGCAACGCCGCGUGAGGGAUGACGGCCUUCGGGUUGUAAACCUCUUUUAGUANGGAAGAAGCGAAAGUGACGGUACCUGCAGAAAAAGCACCGGCUAACUACGUGCCAGCAGCCGCGGUAAUACGUAGGGUGCAAGCGUUGUCCGGAAUUAUUGGGCGUAAGAGCUCGUANGCGGCUUGUCGCGUCUGCUGUGAAAUCUGGGGGCUCAACCCCCAGCCUGCAGUGGGUACGGGCAGACUAGAGUGCGGUAGGGGAGAUUGGAAUUCCUGGUGUAGCGGUGGAAUGCGCAGAUAUCAGGAGGAACACCGAUGGCGAAGGCAGAUCUCUGGGCCGUAACUGACGCUGAGGAGCGAAAGCAUGGGGAGCGAACAGGAUUAGAUACCCUGGUAGUCCAUGCCGUAAACGUUGGGAACUAGAUGUGGGGGCCAUUCCACGGUCUCCGUGUCGCAGCUAACGCAUUAAGUUCCCCGCCUGGGGAGUACGGCCGCAAGGCUAAAACUCAAAGGAAUUGACGGGGGCCCGCACAAGCGGCGGAGCAUGCGGAUUAAUUCGAUGCAACGCGAAGAACCUUACCAAGGCUUGACAUAUACCGGAAACGUCCAGAGAUGGUCGCCCCGCAAGGUCGGUAUACAGGUGGUGCAUGGUUGUCGUCAGCUCGUGUCGUGAGAUGUUGGGUUAAGUCCCGCAACGAGCGCAACCCUCGUUCUAUGUUGCCAGCACGUUAUGGUGGGAACUCAUAGGAGACUGCCGGGGUCAACUCGGAGGAAGGUGGGGAUGACGUCAAAUCAUUAUGCCCCUUAUGUCUUGGGCUUCACGCAUGCUACAAUGGCCGGUACAAAGGGCUGCGAUACCGUAAGGUGGAGCGAAUCCCAAAAAGCCGGUCUCAGUUCGGAUUGAGGUCUGCAACUCGACCUCAUGAAGUCGGAGUCGCUAGUAAUCGCAGAUCAGCAACGCUGCGGUGAAUACGUUCCCGGGCCU
RNAcentral lists this ribosomal RNA (1339 nucleotides) under uncultured bacterium. Its description in RNAcentral is "bacterial SSU rRNA". It matches the Rfam family "Bacterial small subunit ribosomal RNA", at positions 28 to 1381 of the family's 1533-position model. The record is from RNAcentral.